Long non-coding RNA from Gordionus sp. m RMFG-2023, 426 nucleotides. RefSeq lists it as uncharacterized. NCBI's taxonomy places the organism in Eukaryota, Metazoa, Nematomorpha, Gordioida, Chordodea, Parachordodidae. The record is from RefSeq and is a predicted model, not a curated record. The transcript has 3 exons.
CUAACAUUAAUUUAGAUUUAAUAAAUUACGCGCAUUCAUGAAUGACCAUAUGAAUACACGCUCUCCAGAUUGGUUAGACAAAAUCGCUUUAGUAUUCACCGGAAAAUAUAAAUCUUUAAAAUCAGUGCCCUUGAAGGUGGGUGCUGAAACCUUAGACAAGGCAAAAAGUAAACUUCGGAUAUAUACAAAUGUUACCUUAUUAGUUGCUACUGGGAUAACAUUAUUUACCUUACUUUAUUCUUCCAAACAAAGAUAUAGAAGCCAAGAUCCAAAAUAAUUUUUAAUUAAAAAAAAAUACAAUUAUGAUUUCACAUGAUUUUUUAUUUGAUAAAUGCAUCAUAUAUCAGAUUUAUGUCAUAAUUAUUUGAUAUCAAAAUGAAUUGCUUUAUUUCUGGUUGACUUUCAAAUUAGAUUUGCAUUUUUCAC